RNAcentral lists this ribosomal RNA (500 nucleotides) under uncultured bacterium. Its description in RNAcentral is "bacterial SSU rRNA". It matches the Rfam family "Bacterial small subunit ribosomal RNA", at positions 30 to 525 of the family's 1533-position model. The record is from RNAcentral.
AUUGAACGCUGGCGGCAGGCCUAACACAUGCAAGUCGAGCGAGAAAGGUCUUCGGACUGAGUACAGCGGCGGACGGGUGAGUAAAGCGUAGGAAUCUACCUGGUAGUGGGGGGAUAACUUGGGGAAACUCAAACUAAUACCGCAUACGCCCUACGGGGGAAAGCGGGGGACCGUUCGGGCCUCGCGCUAUCAGAUGAGCCUGCGUAGGAUUAGCUAGUUGGUGAGGUAAAGGCUCACCAAGGCGACGAUCCUUAGCUGGUCUGAGAGGAUGAUCAGCCACACUGGGACUGAGACACGGCCCAGACUCCUACGGGAGGCAGCAGUGGGGAAUAUUGCGCAAUGGGCGAAAGCCUGACGCAGCCAUGCCGCGUGUGUGAAGAAGGCCUUAGGGUUGUAAAGCACUUUCAUUAGGGAGAAAAGUUGGUCGUUAAUAGCGGCCAGCCCUGACAUUACCUUUAGAAGAAGGACCGGCUAACUCCGUGCCAGCAGCCGCGGUAAAG